UUCUUGGCUGCUGCUCAAGGAUGGCAUGGGCACUCAGAAGAAGGUGCCGGGAAGGACACCUCCUGGGGAGCCAUCCACCGGAAGGAACUCCUGGGAGAGAAGGUCUGUCGUGUCUGCAGGACAUUCAUUUCCAACUACCCUGUCGUGAACCACAGAGCGCCCCCCGGGCCAAGGAAAGGAAGACUGAAGACCUGUCCGCCUAAAGCGAGCUGUCUGGGAAAAGACGACGGAUAUUCAACAUUUCUAACAAAUCUUGAAUUGCUCAGCUAACCAAAUGAUUUCACAUUCUUGCGGCGAGUUCAAGUAUAGUUUCUAACGGCAUUUUUAUAGCCUCCUUCUCUGUCUACCCACCUUUCCAAAUAGUGUCUGAACCUCCCCAAGAUACUUGAUUAAAUCUAAAUUAAAAAAAGCAAAGGGGGACAAAAGGAAGAAACCCGAACUGUAAGAAAGUGUGGGGAGGAAAAGCAUGUGGAGACGUCAGCAUUUAGGCUCUAUAGGAAGUCACAAAUCAUUUUGAAAUUAGGAUGAAACCCGAAGAGGAAACGGUGCUUGAGAGACAGGCUGACACUUUGAGGGACAGUGGCUGACUUCUGAGCGGAAACAUGGGGGUCAACUGGAGCAAACGGCAGCCUUCAGUUCAAAGUGCUUAUCCAGCGAAGGGACC
Long non-coding RNA from Eptesicus fuscus (big brown bat), 664 nucleotides. RefSeq lists it as uncharacterized. The record is from RefSeq and is a predicted model, not a curated record. Lineage: Eukaryota; Metazoa; Chordata; Mammalia; Chiroptera; Vespertilionidae. The transcript has 3 exons.